This 1216-nucleotide unclassified non-coding RNA is filed under the name Hevea brasiliensis (rubber tree). The record is from RNAcentral. Lineage: Eukaryota; Viridiplantae; Streptophyta; Magnoliopsida; Malpighiales; Euphorbiaceae.
UCUUGGUAUAUUCGUAUUGACUUGAUCAGAUUGGCCGGCCUUUUUGCUGGGAAGAUUCUGAUUCCCACUAUUGGACACCUCAAAAGUUUGCGCCAAAGCCCUUAACUGAAAUUUUUGAAUUUUUCCGGUUGCCGUCUUGGGUAGCUCUGUCAAGAACUCCACCUUCUUUGGAACCAUGAAAUGAGGAAGAUUUUUCCGGCAAUAUGCUAUGAUAUCAGAUUCUUUAACGUCAUCUGUGUUCCCAUUUGCGUUCUUUUUAACGGCCAAAAAAGCGCAGGGACUCUCCCCCCAUAGAGAGUGUGGCAUUGCCACCACAGCUGCUUCCAGGACUCUUGGAUGCCUGUAUAAUACAGAUUCCAAUUCUACGCUGCUGAUAUUUUCACCACCAGAUAUGAUCACAUCCUUGGAUCGGUCCUUAAUUUCCAUGUACCCAUCUGGAUGGAUGACCCCAACAUCCCCUGUAACGAACCAUCCAUUCUUGAAUGCUUUAGAGGUAGCAUUUGGAUCCUUGAAGUAUCCUUUCAUGAUGCUACUUCCUCGCAGGACAAUCUCCCCCAUUGUUUUUCCAUCUCGAGGAACGCUAUUCAUUGUCUUUAGAUCCUUCGCGUCAACAUCAGCAAGAGUUAGAAUACUGAUCCCUUGUCUCGACUUGAGUUUUGCUUGAUCAUCUCGCGAAAGCUGGUUCCACUUAUCUUGCCACUCGCAAACCAAGGCUGGUCCAGUGGCUUCUGUUAGCCCAUAUGCAUGCGUAACGUGGAAUCCUCGUUGUUCCAUCUUUUCAAGUAGUGAGGCCGGCGGUGGUGCACCUCCGGUGAGUACUUGAACAGGGGAAGUUAUUUGGAUGAGCUUGUGAGGUUUGGCCUCAAGAAGGAUGUUGAAAACGAUUGGUGCACAGCACAUGUGGGUGACUUUGUGGAGAGAAAUGUUGCGGUAUAUGUCGUGAGAGGUGGUGUUGCGUAGGCAGACGUUGGUUCCGCCGCGUGCAGCGAUUCCCCAAGUGAAGGUCCAGCCAUUGCAGUGGAACAUAGGGAGUGUCCAGAGAUACACAGGUUCACUUCCCAUUUCCCAGCCAAGAAUAAGGCUAAGGGUGCUAAGGUAGGCACCUCUAUGGCUAUACACAACUCCUUUUGGCUCUGAGGUUGUUCCAGAAGUAUAAUUCAAGGCUAUAGGAUCCCAUUCAUCUUGAAUGUCGUCAAGCACAUAAUUAGGAUGGCCC